Molecule: ribosomal RNA, 253 nt
Filed under: uncultured bacterium
Lineage: Bacteria
Description: partial 16S ribosomal RNA
Rfam family: Bacterial small subunit ribosomal RNA
Source: RNAcentral
UACGUAGGGACCGAGCGUUGUCCGGAUUUAUUGGGCGUAAAGAGCUCGUAGGCGGCUUGUCGCGUCGGCUGUGAAAACCCGCGGCUCAACCGCGGGCCUGCAGCCGAUACGGGCAGACUAGAGUGCGGUAGGGGAGAUUGGAAUUCCUGGUGUAGCGGUGGAAUGCGCAGAUAUCAGGAGGAACACCAAUGGCGAAGGCAGAUCUCUGGGCCGUAACUGACGCUGAGGAGCGAAAGCAUGGGGAGCGAACAGG